GAGAAGGCGCUCUGAAAGUGCAGCGACCGCAUCUUGCUGGCUCAUGAAUUAGGAAACAAAGGUUUUCAGGGAAGCGGUAGACAAGUUCCUUCAGCUCAACACGAUGUCAUUGGCCCGGCCUGGCACCCACAGGUAAAGAAUAGCAGAAAAAGAGAGAGGAACUCUCGCAAACCCAUCCUGCUCCUGCUCACUGGGUCAUUAGAAACAAAACAGAUCUGGUGAAGGGUCUGCUCUAAAGCAGCUUGGUAACAUCACAGAAAGAGACAAGCAGCAACUAGACAGUGUGUCCUCCUGCUAAAAGUACGUAACAUCGGUUAUGAAGUAGUCCUUUCCCUCCCACCCAGAAAAAGGGCCCGACUCUGACGAAGCUUUUAGGAGAUCUAACUACCAAUGUACAGGAAAUACAGAAACAGAAGACCAUGUUAAAUGACACCACAGGCAUGUUUGUUUCUAACUUGGUUUUUUAGUUCUAACCUGUCACUAUUUUAAAAAUUGUAUUGAUAAAUAUAAUAAAAAUACAUCAGAAAAGAGAAAAAA
Molecule: long non-coding RNA, 537 nt
Organism: Symphalangus syndactylus (siamang)
Lineage: Eukaryota; Metazoa; Chordata; Mammalia; Primates; Hylobatidae
Source: RefSeq, a predicted model, not a curated record